RNAcentral lists this ribosomal RNA (524 nucleotides) under uncultured bacterium. RNAcentral's name for it is "partial 16S ribosomal RNA". It matches the Rfam family "Bacterial small subunit ribosomal RNA", at positions 28 to 523 of the family's 1533-position model. The record is from RNAcentral.
GACGAACGCUGGCGGCGUGCCUAAUACAUGCAAGUCGAGCGCAGGAAACUGACGGAACUCUUCGGAGGGAAGGCAGUGGAAUGAGCGGCGGACGGGUGAGUAACACGUAAGGAACCUGCCUCAAGGAUUGGGAUAACUCCGAGAAAUCGGAGCUAAUACCGGAUAGUUCAACGGACCGCAUGGUCCGUUGAUGAAAGGCGCUCCGGCGUCACCUUGAGAUGGCCUUGCGGUGCAUUAGCUAGUUGGUGGGGUAACGGCUCACCAAGGCGACGAUGCAUAGCCGACCUGAGAGGGUGAUCGGCCACGCUGGGACUGAGACACGGCCCAGACUCCUACGGGAGGCAGCAGUAGGGAAUCUUCCACAAUGGACGAAAGUCUGAUGGAGCAACGCCGCGUGAGUGAUGAAGGUUUUCGGAUCGUAAAACUCUGUUGUAAGGGAAGAACACGUACGAGAAGAAAUGCUCGUACCUUGACGGUACCUUACGAGAAAGCCACGGCUAACUACGUGCCAGCCGCCGCCGUAA